This is a long non-coding RNA of Saccostrea cuccullata (small rock oyster), 1107 nucleotides long. RefSeq lists it as uncharacterized. Lineage: Eukaryota; Metazoa; Mollusca; Bivalvia; Ostreida; Ostreidae. The record is from RefSeq and is a predicted model, not a curated record. The transcript has 3 exons.
UUUUACAGACAUUGACGAAUGUGAAACAGACCCAUGUAUAUUCCUGUUUGAUUGCUUCGAUGGGCUAAAUGAUCGAACUUGUAAACUCAACGAAUUCAAAUUGGCAGCUUUAGUAACAGCAUUAGCACUUGCUGUUGGGAUCAUUAUAUUCCUCGUCUGUAAAAACAAGAAGAAAUACAACGAAGUUGACCACUCAUGGCUAUCUAGCUACUUAGAUGUUCGAAAACCUGACUCUCAGCCAAAACUUGUAUACCAGCCAAAGUCGGUCCAAAAUUUAAAACAACCUAGUUCAGUAUGUAACUUGUUUAGUUUUACAUCCAAAAACUUUCUUAAAUGAGAUAUAAUGAUAAGGUAAUGUGUUUUUUAAUCUGUAUUUUAUAUCAACAGAUUGUUUUGUUUAAUAUUUAUUGCAUGAAAUAUGCUGCUACUUUAAAUGUUUCAAAACCAUGACAAAUAUUUUAUAUAAAUGGAUCAACUCUUGAAAAAUAACAAUAUAAAGUAAUAAGUAUUUUUUGGAUGAACUCUACAAAAACUUAUAAUCUAAGCUGUUUUUCUAAUCAACAUGGUUGAAAGCGCUCACAGUAUUUUGAUAAAUAUAUUUCUUUUUUCCAAACUCAUUGUCAUUGUUUGUAAUUUGGAAAUAAAUAGUUGUGUGUACUACACUCACGAGUGUUUAUGGAGGCAAUAAAAUACAACUUAUUGAAUAAAAAUCUUAUUUCCUUACUACGAGUAUACAGUGGAGAUUUUUACCUGAUAUAUAUUUAAUUUAAAUGUUUACACUUUUUCAUGUAAUGAGGGAGGGAAUUGGGUUUAAAAAUAUAUACCCGAUUUCAUUAUAUAUGUUUAAUACAAUAAAAUAUGUUCAAUUCAAAAACAUGACAUUAUUUCACUGUAUUUGUUUAUUUCAAUAAAAUAUGUUAAAUGUAAAAAAUAUGACAUGAUUUCAUUGUAUAUGUUUAUUACAAUAAAAUAUGUUUAAUAAAAAAAUGACCCGAUUUUAUUGUUUAUGUUUAUUACAAUAAAAUAUGUUCAAUUUAAAAAAAAUUACUUCUGUAAUUUUUUCAACAUAGUUUCCCUUUCCAAUCGUUUUAUUUUAACGUUGUAAAA